RNAcentral lists this long non-coding RNA (547 nucleotides) under Carica papaya (papaya). Its description in RNAcentral is "long non-coding RNA (CPAP_LNC005426)". Lineage: Eukaryota; Viridiplantae; Streptophyta; Magnoliopsida; Brassicales; Caricaceae. The record is from RNAcentral.
UAGUAAGUUUAAUAGGGUAAUUACUUUUAAAAAUUUUAACAAAACAUAUUCAGUUACACAUGACAAACAAAUAAAUGACUAAUCUAUUCCGACUCCAUUAGUAACCUAUAAUUAUUCUUCAAGUUUUCUAAAUUACAUAAAAUAUCAUAUUAUCAAUUAUUAAGUUUCAAUACCAUAACAGAUAAUAAGGUGAAUGAUUCUUACCCAAAUCGGUAUUCAAAACACUGAACUUUCAGGUGCGCCUACUGACACUCCUCGAUUUUCCUGAAUUUUUUUUGCGGAGAUUAAAACAUGUUUCACGUACCUAAAAAUACCCAAAAAAUUCAAAAUCGAUGUUAAAAACCUUUUCUGAUCAAUUUCAGAAUUCCGGCACGAUUGCGGUUUGCCUUGGACUGGCCGUUUUUGGCUAGUUUUUGCCGAUUUUAUACUCAUCCCUACGAGAAAAUAUGUUAGGAGGCCUCGGUUGGCAAAAAAAAAUGAAAAAUAAAAACCUACUGGUGGUAGAAUUUUUCGGUGCGGCAGCUCUGCCACCUCACCUUCAUGGCUA